CACCCAACAGCUAGCCUGCCCCCCCCCCAAAAUCAACAAAACAACGUUAAUAAACCCAAAUACACAAAAUGCUAUAAACAAACCAUUUUUCCUCCUUAGUAUGGGCGACAGAAAAGGACCUCAGCGCCAUAGAAAAAGUACCGCAAGGGAAAGCUGAAAAAGUAAUGAAAAAGCUCAGUAAAGUUAAAUAAAGCAGAGAUUAACCCUUGUACCUUUUGCAUCAUGAACUAGCUAGUAAACCCUAAGCAAAGUGAACUUUAGUUUAAGCCCCCGAAACUAAGUGAGCUACUCCAAGGCAGCCUAUCAUAGGGCACACCCGUCUCUGUGGCAAAAGAGUGGGAAGAACUUCGAGUAGAGGCGAUAAACCUACCGAACUUAGUUAUAGCUGGUUGCCUAAGAAAUGAAUAGAAGUUCAGCCUUUUGAUUUCUUUAGCCCAACCUGGCACUCUCCCCCUCUCCCGACAACAAGAACAAUCAAAAGAGUUAGUCAAAAGGGGUACAGCCCUUCUGAAAAAGAUACAACUUUUAUAUGAAGGUAAAAGAUCAAAAAUGAAAUAAGGUACUAUAUUUUAGUGGGCCUAAAAGCAGCCAUCUACCUAGAAAGCGUUAAAGCUCAAAUAUCGCCACCCCCCCCCCCCCCCAAUACCGAUAAAGCUAUCUUAACCCUCCAAGCCUAUUAGGCCCUUCUAUGCAGACAUAGAAAAGACCAUGCUAGUAUGAGUAAUAAGGAGCGUCCGCCCUCCUCCUCACACCCCUGUACAUCAGAACGAACCCCCACUGAAAAUUAACGCCCCCAACCACAGAGGGAAUUGAACAAAAACUAAUACACCAGAAAACCCCCCAACAUAACAAGCGUUAACCCCACACAGGAGUGUGCCCGGAAAGGCUAAAAGAAAAAGAAGGAACUCGGCAAACACUAGCCUCGCCUGUUUACCAAAAACAUCGCCUCUUGAGUCUAAUAUAUAAGAGGUCCCGCCUGCCCUGUGACUAUAAGUUUAACGGCCGCGGUAUUUUGACCGUGCGAAGGUAGCGCAAUCACUUGUCUUUUAAAUGAAGACCGGUAUGAAUGGCAUUACGAGGGCUAAACUGUCUCUUUUUUCCAGCCAAUGAAAUUGAUCUGUCCGUGCAGAAGCGGACAUAAAAACAUAAGACGAGAAGACCCUAUGGAGCUUCAGACACCAGAGCAGCCUAUGUUAAGCAACCUCAACAAAGAGAUUAAACCAAGCAGACCCUGCUCCCCUGUCUUUGGUUGGGGCGACCGCGGGGCAAUAAGUAACCCCCACGUGGAAAAAGGAUACCUCCUUUAAAAUAAGGGCCACAGCCCUAAUAAACAGAACAUCUGACCAACAAGAUCCGGCACGCCGAUCAACGAACCCAGUUACCCUAGGGAUAACAGCGCAAUCCUCUUUUAGAGCCCAUAUCGACAAGAGGGUUUACGACCUCGAUGUUGGAUCAGGACAUCCUAAUGGUGCAGCCGCUAUUAAGGGCUC
This 1490-nucleotide ribosomal RNA is filed under the name Tateurndina ocellicauda (peacock gudgeon). Its description in RNAcentral is "partial 16S ribosomal RNA". It matches the Rfam family "Bacterial large subunit ribosomal RNA", at positions 274 to 2574 of the family's 2925-position model. The record is from RNAcentral. Lineage: Eukaryota; Metazoa; Chordata; Actinopteri; Gobiiformes; Eleotridae.